RNAcentral lists this signal recognition particle RNA (291 nucleotides) under Vombatus ursinus (common wombat). RNAcentral describes it as "Metazoan signal recognition particle RNA (ENSVURG00010004184.1)". It matches the Rfam family "Metazoan signal recognition particle RNA". From Rfam's summary of the family: The signal recognition particle (SRP) is a universally conserved ribonucleoprotein. It is involved in the co-translational targeting of proteins to membranes. The record is from Rfam by way of RNAcentral. Lineage: Eukaryota; Metazoa; Chordata; Mammalia; Diprotodontia; Vombatidae.
ACCAGGCAUGGUGUCAAAUGCUUAUCAUCCUUUCUGCCAGGGAGUUUGAGUCUAAUGGAUUGUUUGAGUUGGAGAGUUCUGAGCUUCAGUGUGCUAAGCCAAUCAGGUGUCUGCCCUUAGUCUGGCAUCAAUAUGGUAAGUCUCUGGGAGUUGGAAACCACCAGGUUGCCUAAGGAGGGGUAAACUGGCCCAUGUUGGAAAGGGAGCAGGUCAGACCUUCUGAGCUGAUCAGUAGAGGUAUCAGGUCUAUGAGAGACCUUCAGUCUCUCAGACUUCAGACUUCAGACUUCA